GACGAACGCUGGCGGCGGGCUUAACACAUGCAAGUCGAACGGGAAGUCCCUGCUUUUGUGGGGUGCUCGAGUGGCGAACGGGUGAGUAACACGUGAGUAACCUGCCCUGGACUUUGGGAUAACUUCAUGAAACUUGGGCUAAUACCGGAUAGGAGCUCCUGCUGCAUGGUGGGGGUUGGAAAGUUUCGGCGGUUGGGGAUGGACUCGCGGCUUAUCAGCUUGUUGGUGGGGUAGUGGCUUACCAAGGCUUUGACGGGUAGCCGGCCUGAGAGGGUGACCGGACACAUUGGGACUGAGAUACGGCACAGACUACUACGGGAGGCAGCAGUGGGGAAUAUUGCACAAUGGGCGGAAGCCUGAUGCAGCAACGCCGCGUGCGGGAUGACGGCCUUCGGGUUGUAAACCGCUUUCGCCUGUGACGAAGCGUGAGUGACGGUAAUGGGUAAAGAAGCACCGGCUAACUACGUG
RNAcentral lists this ribosomal RNA (468 nucleotides) under uncultured bacterium. RNAcentral describes it as "partial 16S ribosomal RNA". It matches the Rfam family "Bacterial small subunit ribosomal RNA", at positions 28 to 507 of the family's 1533-position model. The record is from RNAcentral.